CUAACACAUGCAAGUCGAGCGGUAGCAUGAUUAGUAGCAAUACUGAUUGAUGACGAGCGGCGGACGGGUGAGGAACACGUAGGGACUUACCCAGUAGAGUGGGAUAACCGAGGGAAACUUUGGCUAAUACCGCAUAGACUCGGAAGAGGAAAGCUGCUGAGAGGUAGCGCUAUUGGAGAGGCCUGCGUCCGAUUAGCUAGUUGGUAGGGUAAGAGCCUACCAAGGCGAUGAUCGGUAACUGGUCUGAGAGGACGGCCAGUCACACUGGGACUGAGACACGGCCCAGACUCCUACGGGAGGCAGCAGUGGGGAAUAUUGGACAAUGGGGGACACCCUGAUCCAGCGAUGCCGCGUGGGUGAAGAAGGCCUUCGGGUUGUAAAGCCCUUUAGGUUAGGACAAAGGUUACGUGAGGAAAUGCAUGUAAUUUGAUGGUACUGACAGAAUAAGCACCGGCAAACUCUGUGCCAGCCGCCGCAGUAA
Molecule: ribosomal RNA, 481 nt
Filed under: uncultured bacterium
Lineage: Bacteria
Description: partial 16S ribosomal RNA
Rfam family: Bacterial small subunit ribosomal RNA
Source: RNAcentral